Molecule: ribosomal RNA, 2900 nt
Filed under: Klebsiella quasipneumoniae subsp. similipneumoniae
Lineage: Bacteria; Pseudomonadati; Pseudomonadota; Gammaproteobacteria; Enterobacterales; Enterobacteriaceae
Description: bacterial LSU rRNA
Rfam family: Bacterial large subunit ribosomal RNA
Source: RNAcentral
UUAAGCGACUAAGCGUACACGGUGGAUGCCCUGGCAGUCAGAGGCGAUGAAGGACGUGCUAAUCUGCGAAAAGCGUCGGUAAGGUGAUAUGAACCGUUAUAGCCGGCGAUGUCCGAAUGGGGAAACCCAGUGCAAUUCGUUGCACUAUCGUUAACUGAAUACAUAGGUUAACGAGGCGAACCGGGGGAACUGAAACAUCUAAGUACCCCGAGGAAAAGAAAUCAACCGAGAUUCCCCCAGUAGCGGCGAGCGAACGGGGAGCAGCCCAGAGUCUGAAUCAGCUUGUGUGUUAGUGGAACGGUCUGGAAAGUCCGACGGUACAGGGUGAUAGUCCCGUACACCAAAAUGCACAGGCUGUGAACUCGAAGAGUAGGGCGGGACACGUGGUAUCCUGUCUGAAUAUGGGGGGACCAUCCUCCAAGGCUAAAUACUCCUGACUGACCGAUAGUGAACCAGUACCGUGAGGGAAAGGCGAAAAGAACCCCGGCGAGGGGAGUGAAAAAGAACCUGAAACCGUGUACGUACAAGCAGUGGGAGCACCUUCGGGUGUGACUGCGUACCUUUUGUAUAAUGGGUCAGCGACUUAUAUUCUGUAGCAAGGUUAACCGUAUAGGGGAGCCGCAGGGAAACCGAGUCUUAACUGGGCGUUAAGUUGCAGGGUAUAGACCCGAAACCCGGUGAUCUAGCCAUGGGCAGGUUGAAGGUUGGGUAACACUAACUGGAGGACCGAACCGACUAAUGUUGAAAAAUUAGCGGAUGACUUGUGGCUGGGGGUGAAAGGCCAAUCAAACCGGGAGAUAGCUGGUUCUCCCCGAAAGCUAUUUAGGUAGCGCCUCGUGAAUUCAUCUUCGGGGGUAGAGCACUGUUUCGGCUAGGGGGUCAUCCCGACUUACCAACCCGAUGCAAACUACGAAUACCGAAGAAUGUUAUCACGGGAGACACACGGCGGGUGCUAACGUCCGUCGUGAAGAGGGAAACAACCCAGACCGCCAGCUAAGGUCCCAAAGUCAUGGUUAAGUGGGAAACGAUGUGGGAAGGCACAGACAGCCAGGAUGUUGGCUUAGAAGCAGCCAUCAUUUAAAGAAAGCGUAAUAGCUCACUGGUCGAGUCGGCCUGCGCGGAAGAUGUAACGGGGCUAAACCAUGCACCGAAGCUGCGGCAGCGACACGAUGUGUUGUUGGGUAGGGGAGCGUUCUGUAAGCCUGCGAAGGUGACCUGUGAGGGUUGCUGGAGGUAUCAGAAGUGCGAAUGCUGACAUAAGUAACGAUAAAGCGGGUGAAAAGCCCGCUCGCCGGAAGACCAAGGGUUCCUGUCCAACGUUAAUCGGGGCAGGGUGAGUCGACCCCUAAGGCGAGGCCGAAAGGCGUAGUCGAUGGGAAACAGGUUAAUAUUCCUGUACUUGGUGUUACUGCGAAGGGGGGACGGAGAAGGCUAUGUUAGCCGGGCGACGGUUGUCCCGGUUUAAGCAUGUAGGCUGGUUAUCCAGGCAAAUCCGGAUAAUCAAGGCUGAGGUGUGAUGACGAGGCACUACGGUGCUGAAGUAACAAAUGCCCUGCUUCCAGGAAAAGCCUCUAAGCAUCAGGUAACAUCAAAUCGUACCCCAAACCGACACAGGUGGUCAGGUAGAGAAUACCAAGGCGCUUGAGAGAACUCGGGUGAAGGAACUAGGCAAAAUGGUGCCGUAACUUCGGGAGAAGGCACGCUGGUGUGUAGGUGAAGUCCCUGCGGAUGGAGCUGAGACCAGUCGAAGAUACCAGCUGGCUGCAACUGUUUAUUAAAAACACAGCACUGUGCAAACACGAAAGUGGACGUAUACGGUGUGACGCCUGCCCGGUGCCGGAAGGUUAAUUGAUGGGGUUAUCCGUAAGGAGAAGCUCUUGAUCGAAGCCCCGGUAAACGGCGGCCGUAACUAUAACGGUCCUAAGGUAGCGAAAUUCCUUGUCGGGUAAGUUCCGACCUGCACGAAUGGCGUAAUGAUGGCCAGGCUGUCUCCACCCGAGACUCAGUGAAAUUGAACUCGCUGUGAAGAUGCAGUGUACCCGCGGCAAGACGGAAAGACCCCGUGAACCUUUACUAUAGCUUGACACUGAACAUUGAGCCUUGAUGUGUAGGAUAGGUGGGAGGCUUUGAAGCGUGGACGCCAGUCUGCGUGGAGCCAACCUUGAAAUACCACCCUUUAAUGUUUGAUGUUCUAACGUUGGCCCCUUACCGGGGUUGCGGACAGUGUCUGGUGGGUAGUUUGACUGGGGCGGUCUCCUCCCAAAGCGUAACGGAGGAGCACGAAGGUUAGCUAAUCCUGGUCGGACAUCAGGAGGUUAGUGCAAUGGCAUAAGCUAGCUUGACUGCGAGCGUGACGGCGCGAGCAGGUGCGAAAGCAGGUCAUAGUGAUCCGGUGGUUCUGAAUGGAAGGGCCAUCGCUCAACGGAUAAAAGGUACUCCGGGGAUAACAGGCUGAUACCGCCCAAGAGUUCAUAUCGACGGCGGUGUUUGGCACCUCGAUGUCGGCUCAUCACAUCCUGGGGCUGAAGUAGGUCCCAAGGGUAUGGCUGUUCGCCAUUUAAAGUGGUACGCGAGCUGGGUUUAGAACGUCGUGAGACAGUUCGGUCCCUAUCUGCCGUGGGCGCUGGAGAAUUGAGGGGGGCUGCUCCUAGUACGAGAGGACCGGAGUGGACGCAUCACUGGUGUUCGGGUUGUCAUGCCAAUGGCACUGCCCGGUAGCUAAAUGCGGAAGAGAUAAGUGCUGAAAGCAUCUAAGCACGAAACUUGCCCCGAGAUGAGUUCUCCCUGAGACUUUAAGUCUCCUGAAGGAACGUUAAAGACGAUGACGUUGAUAGGCCGGGUGUGUAAGCGCAGCGAUGCGUUGAGCUAACCGGUACUAAUGAACCGUGAGGCUUAACCUU